RNAcentral lists this long non-coding RNA (14976 nucleotides) under Olea europaea subsp. europaea. Lineage: Eukaryota; Viridiplantae; Streptophyta; Magnoliopsida; Lamiales; Oleaceae. The record is from RNAcentral.
GCGAAGCACUUCUUUUUACACUAUUUUGAAUUGCAAAUAUUUAUAGUACAUAUAGUUAUUUUCUUACAUAUUUGUUAUUCUUUUCUUAUUGUAGGAGAGAUUUGGCUCCACAUCUAAAGCCUUUGAUAGGACCAUGGUGGUUUUCUCAGUUCGAUUCAGUUUAUGAAGUUUCUCAAACUGCAAAGAGAUCAUUUCAGGUUUGCUUUUAUUUCUUUGGAUACUGAUAGCAUUUGCACUAUGGUUUCUGUAUUCUUUGUUAUUUCCUUUGCGAUACAUUAAUAAGAUCUUUCUCAUAAGAAAAGGAAUAGCUUUUGAUUUGUGCUGCACCUUGUUAUAAGUACUUGGAUGGUGAACUUCCAUACAGAUAACAUUCCAUAAAGAAAUGAAAAUGAUGGUCCAGUCAUAUUUCUAUCUUCUUUGUUCUAUGUAAACCCUACAGCUCAUUAUUGAAAAACAUGAUAGCCUUGCCAACAGAAUGAAACUGAGAACUCAAAUUUUCCCUUGAAAUAACUGGGGAAGAUGCAGCGAAAGAUCGAAUAAUCUCAUGUAAUAGGAUGAAAUAACUACUUGAGUAGGAGAUGAGUAUACCAUCACUUAAAAUCUUUGAAUCUGACAUAUUAAAAUUAAAUAAAAUCUAAUAGCUUCUUUACCUCUUCUUGAAUUUCCUAGUGUCAUUAAAUAGAGAAUUAUAAAAAACUUGUAUGUAACUAUUGCAAGCACAUGUGCCUGGAAUAUACCACCCUCCAAAGAUGUUUAGAAUCAGAUUUAGUUCCCUAGUGAAAUGAAUGAAUGAUGGAGAUCAUCCAUUGAGGUGAUUUAUGGUGACUGGGUUUGCAGGGAAUACCUUUCUGGCAAUGAUCUAUUAAUAGUGUUGGGAGGACUGAGUCACUGAGGAGAGAUUUGUUCUAUCAUCUUCACUUUUGAGUUGGAAGCUGAUAACUUGUUAUUCUUUUACCUUUAUUUCGGCUUAGACAGCAGUAUUGCAUGGUGUCUCAAUAUCACGGUUUAUUGCAUGUGUUAUAUGUUAUGACCUUUGUUUUUCCUUUCAAUUAAUGUUAUUGAUAUUAAUUGUAUCAUUUUUCAUUUUUCAGUAUGUUAUCAAAAACUUUAUACAUUUCAUUUGUACCAUAAAUAGGCAUUUAAAAUUAUGAAGUUUUAAUCUAACUUUAUAUCUUAAUGCUAUGGUACAGACGGCGUUUCCAGCUCAGGAGAAAAGGCUAGAUGCCUUAAUGUUAUACGCAGCUGAGAUAUUUUUGUAUAUAGAAGAAAAUUUAAAGCUUACCCCGCAAAGUUUGUCAGAUAAAACAAUAGCAUCUGAUGAAUUGGAAGAGAUGCAUCAACAGGUGAUUGUUGAGGGUGUAAUUAUCCAAUUAUUAUAUUGUUUGAAUUAUUCUUUUGUUGUGUAUUAUAUGCCAGACUUUUAUACAAGAUGGAUAAACAGGAACAAGUGACCAGGAUUUUUGCAUGAUCAUUGAAUUUCUCUAAUGGAUAUGGCUGUGAAAAUUUAGUGAAGCAAUCAAUAUUAUGGUUUCAUACAUGCCCUUUCUUUUCACUCUUUGAAAUGUUUUAUGCUUGAUAAUGUAUUAAUUUUCUUGUUUUAUGAUUCCAAAAAUCCCUACCCUCAAAUUAAAAUCCGUAUGUUUAAACACUUUUUCUUCAGAUCUGUUGUCUUAUAAUUUCCUUAAUUCCCUAUGAGGUUAUCUUAUCCUCUUCCUGUGUUAUAGUGCUUUUAUAUAAUUUCUAAUUGGUUUCAGGUAGUUUCCUCAUCAUUACUGGCAUUGGCAACACUGCUUGAUGUUUUUGUAUCUGGGCAAUUUGAAAGGUCUGAUUUGGACAACAUGAUAGGUGAAUCAAAGCAUGCUGUGAAAGCCAGGGCUAUGAAUGUGGCUGUUUCUAGUGCAGAGAAGUUGUUCUCCGCUCAUAAAUAUUUUCUAGACUUUCUAAAGUCUCAAAGCCCAGCAAUCCGUUCAGCUACAUAUUCAGUGCUGAGGAGUUAUAUAAAAAACAUACCUGAUGUUGUAAAUAAAGGUGAUAUGAAAAGUCUAGCUGUGACUAUACUUGGUGCUUUCCAGGAAAGGAAUCCAGCAUGCCAUUCAUCAAUGUGGCAAACAGUGCUUAUCUUUAGUAGAACAUAUCCAGACAGUUGGACUACCUUGAAUGUUCAAAAAAUUAUUCUAAGUCGGUUAUGGGAUUUUCUGAAGAAUGGAUGUUUUGGAUCUCAGCAAGUGUCUUACCCAGCUCUAGUUUUAUUUUUAGACACAAUUCCUCCAAAAGCAGUUGUAGGAGAGAAAUUUAUCCUGCAAUUUUUCCAGAAUUUGUGGGCAGGGAGAAAGUUGUCUUACUUUUCUAACGGGGAUCAACUGGCAUUUUUCGUGGGCUUGGAAGAAUGUUUCCUUUGGACUUUAAGAAAUGCUUCUAGGUAUGAGUUCCUUGAGUUAGAUGGCAAUUUGAGUACUUUACACAGACUGACACACACACACACACACAAAAGCAUACAUACAUUUAUUGUGGUUACUGUUUUUGCUUAAAUCUUAUUUUAGUUUUGGUUAUUAUAAUGGCUACUUUUGCUCCUCUUUGGUAUCAGAUAUUGUGAUGGAGUAGAAGCCAUUUACAGCUUCCAGCGUACUCUUGUUGAUACGGUAGUAAUAGGUCUUCUGUGGCAUGAGUACCUUCUGGCAGCCAGCUCUAAAUAUCAGGACACAUCCUUCUCUGAAACUACUAUCUCUUCAUCCAAGUGUAGUACUGAACCUGUUGAUAAGGAGUCAAGGGAAACAUUUAAUGUCAAAUAUCCAGCAGAUUAUGAGGAAAAUCUUGGGAAAUGCAUCAUCAGAAUCCUUUCAGGGAUCCAUUGCCUGAAACAUGAUCUGCUUUUGGUUUUCUGUUCAACAUUUCAAGGGAAUUGUCUGGAUCUAUUUCGGCAAACAGAGCGCUCUUCUCAAAAUGUAGAAUGGGCUGUCAAAUUUUUAAUUUUACUGGACGAACAUGCUGUACAGAAGGGUGAAUCAUGGCCCUUGGUUAAUUUAUUGGGGCCCACGUUGAAAGAGUCUUUCCCAGUCAUUGAAACAUCUGUAAGUUAAGAAUGCAACUUUGAAGCUCUUACGAUGGUUAGUAAAAAUGAUUUAGGCGUUAACAUUUGGCUUACUUUAACAUAUACUUUGCACAAUAGCUAGGAGUUUCAACGUGAGGUUAUUUGGUUAUGUUAAUAAUGUUAAGAGUUCUAGUUUUCCUGUUCAAGUAUUGGGAUCCUUCAUUAAAUGGAUCCCUAGGAUUGCUUGAGAACAUCUGAGUCUAACAUUUGUUCAAAAACUGAAUUAUCAUCAUGAUCCACAUCUACAAUAAAAUGCUAUUGGGGUUAUAACUAUUUAUCGGGUGUUUAUUCUGUUUUUAUUUAUGGAAUGAUGUAAAGAGUGCAGAUGAGCUACAGAAAUUUUUCUUGGUUGUCGAGGUUUAUGAUUGUAAGUAAAUAUCUUUUAUGUGCGUUGGCUCAAACUUUUUAAUGAUUUUUUUACUAAUCAAUUCCAUUGUUACUUGUCUACUCACAAUAUGAGAUUGUGCAGGUACAGGGAUUUCCAUGAGUUGAUAUUGCCUACUUAAUUUAAAGGACCAUGUGAAUGUGAAAAGAUCUUCUAUAGUAUAUGACUUUUGGUUGACACUUUAGUUUUUUUUUACGAUUAUCUAGUUUGUGUUCAUCUGGUUCAUGGACUUUUUAUGCGUUAAGAAUCCAUUUGGAUUGUUACAUGUCCUGUGUCGUAGUUUACUAUCAAAUUCAAGAUUUUUUUUAGUUAAACUAUAGCACAGGGCAAAAGAACAUUCAUGAUAAACCAUGCAAUUCAUAUCAGUUUGCUUUCUGUUUUUAAAUUUGCUACGACAUAGAAUUAGUUUAUGUAGAAACAUGGCUUUCUUGAAGAAAGAAUUCAUACUUAAAAGAGUAAACUGAAGACUUGUGGCUUUCAUAUGCAUGAGAAUGAUCUAACUGGAUGCUUAAUUCUUAAUUCCAAGUCUGCACUUGAUGUGGUCUGUCCAUUUGAAGUGCCAUCGACCCUUGAGCGUGGUAUUUUUUUCCUUUCAGAAAAUGACUUAUUCUGCUAUCAUUGUUGCUCGAAUGCAUAAUUUCUUUUAAAUUUGAAAUGACCCUCUUGGCGGGCAUAGCAAAUCUCUCUGUGAAUAAAAUGAGUAGAUUUACCAGUAAAUGUCAUCAAUAGUGGUCCAUUUCAGUGUGGAAUUAAACUAGAUCUUCCUUUCCUACGAAUCAAAGAAGUAAAAUAGUAUGAAUUCCUUAGUGCUAUGUUAAUUUUGUUCUACUAAUCUUAAUUUGCUGUCUGAUAUUGCUUUUGUGUCAUCUCAUGUUAGUUUUGCUACUGGAAUUAAUUCAUACAUAAAUUAAAAAAAAUAUUAGACUGAUUAAAAUUUUCUGUAGUUUUUUCGUCCAAAAUUUAUAUUGUUUUGUCAUGAUUAGCUGUACCAUAUAUCUGAAACAAGGAGCCCUUCUUAUUAUUGCCUGUAUCUUGAGCAGUUUUCAAUGAUAUCCACAAUGGUUUACUAUUCUUUUGCUGUUAUCCACAAUGUUUUGCUAGCCUUUUGCUGUUUCAUUUAAAUAAUGUGAUAGAGCUGUGCAGUUGUGAAACUAUUUGUUGCUUUCAUCUCAAAAAAGAAAAAAAUAAAGAGGGAUCUCUUUUUCUCCUCCACUUAGUGUAUCAUUAAGUCAUUUUCUUCGGUCUUAUGUCACGGAUGUUAUAGUUUGCUAUCAUUACAUCCUUUCAUAAUUAUUUUUGUUCCGUUUACACCAGGACUCACCAGAUUCAGUGAGACUUAUCGUGGUUGCUGUUUCGGUAUUUGGGCCUCAGAAGAUUAUUCAAGGUCUUAUAUCUGCUGAUUUGGGGACUCGAGAAUUUUUUCAAUAUUUCAACGAGAGGAUUAUUCCCUCGUGCUUGAGAGAAGUUGGUCCUAAUGCAUCUCGGUUAGACCUCUUGCUGGCAUUACUUGAUGAAGAGUGCUUCUCAGAGCAGUGGAAUGCCAUCAUUAUGUAUUUAAUAAAUUCAGAACAAGUGGGUGUUACUCCUGGAACUGUGGACAACAACAAAAUAUCUAUCUUGGCUAUGUUGAUAGAGAAGGUUAGGGAGAGAACUAGAAAGCAUGCUCAUCUGGAAGGAUCCUGCUCAUACGAAUGGCAUCAUGAGCUUCUAGAUUCAGCUGCUCUCUCUAUCAUCCAUUCUUUUCCUCCAUUUAGGAAGUCUGAUGCUCACUUUUUAUGGUACGUAAAUAGUGAUAUCUUGAAAUAUUUGCAGGUCAUUUAUAACUAUUCAAUGCAUACUGCAUCUCAUUUCUCUAAAAUGGGAUUUGCUCUAUUUAAUCCCUUUGUAUGUUCUAUUGCUUUAUAUCUGUUGGCGUUUUAGUAAGUCAAUCUUUCUGAUUAUCAUGCAUGGUUUGGAGAAUUGUCCCUGCGACCUUCACUUCUUGGCAUGGUCUCUGACCUGUCAAUAUCUGUAGAAUUAUCAUGCCAUUUUGGAAUCGCACAGUAAUUUAAAAAGGUUUCCCUUUAGAUUGGAACACGAUAAGGUCCAUCUUGAAGUCUCUAAUCAUUAGUCAAUUUUAAAACUUGAACAUAUGAAGACUUUGGAGAAGGUUAUGUUACACAAGCUCCAUAUUAAAGCUCAACUCAAGCACCUUAGUUUCGUUUUAAAAUAGUGUCUUUACCCUUUCAGUAUUCUGUGGCUUCAAUUUCGUUCUGUUUGAUUUAUUUUUUUGAUAUAAAUUGACCGAUUCUUCAUUUUUCUUCUUUGGACUGGUAACUUGCUUCCCAUAGAACAGAAAUAUGAAUCCACGGAUCAAUUUGUUGUUAAUUUUUGGUGGUAAACUAUCCAAAUGCUUUAUUCAAUGGAGAUUAUCCAAGUGAUCUGUGCAUCUCUCUCAUUCAUCUCUAAAUACUCUAUCCUGUAAUUGAGCAUUUCAUUCUUCUAGUAGUGUGCAUAUAUUUUCUUGUGUGUAUGGGUAAAAAUCUUAUCUUCUUUCUUCGUUUCAUCUUAUGUGGCAGUGCUGUUCUUGGUGGUGGAGUAGAAGAUGAUAAAGUUUCCUUCUUAUCAAGAAACACAUCGGUUCUUAUAUAUGAAGAAAUAUUUAGAAUUCUGAUGACUUUCAUGCUGGAUUCUAGUUUCAUCUGGGUAAAGAAUAUAUGUUCUUUAUUAAGUAAGAGGGGAAAUUAUUCUUGCCGGGGAUUUGAAUCUUCUACUAAUGUGCUUGAGAUGGCUCAUUUUGCCCUGGAUAUUCUAAAUGGUAGUUUCUUUUGUCUGAAGACUAUGAAUGAUGAAACCGAGUUAGUUUCAGGUAUAUUAGCUGCAAUAUUUAUCAUUGACUGGGAAUUUAACGUGUUAAGUGUUACCAAGGAUGAGAACCAGAUGGGAGAAAUUGAGGCCAGAUUGACAUUCUGUCAGGCUAUCCAUAUUUUUCGUAGCAAGAUAUAUAAUCAGUUCUUUGAAAGUCUCAGCAUAAAUAAUCGAAACAGCCUGGGAACUGUUUUGGUUGAGUCAAUAAAAUGCAUUAUAUUUAUGGAAACUAAAUUAGAUUAUGAGAGAAUCAUAUCUUUAUGCUGCCAAUGGAUGGGUGACAUUUUUGAAUAUUUCUGUAAAGACCAAUUCGAGGAACAGCAGUUGUUGGAGCAAUUACUGACAAAGAAUGAUUGGUGGCCUUUGUGGAUCAUGCCAGAUAAUCGUUUAGGAUCCAGCUUCAAAGCUGAAAAUGGUCCUCUCUAUGUGAGUUUUACUAGUGUUAUUGUUAUUUUUUCUAGCAUUUUGUUUUGAUUUAUUUAUUUUUCGGGUGAGAAAGGGCUAAGAGACGUUUCUUAGCCUCUGUUUGUCUACCAUUAUUUCAAAGUUCUUUAUUUUUGAACUCAUUUUCAACCACACAUUUUCAUAAUAAAAUAUUUUACACGUAAACCCAAAAUUUCUUCUUAAUUUUGAACCACACAUUCUCCAAAAAUUCACUAUUCCAAAAAUUAUUUUCCUAUUUUAAUGGUAGACAAACAAAGGGCUUAAUUUGACUCCACUCAAUCAACACAUUGCAGUGGUCUUUUUUUGUCUGUCUGUACUUGCUUUGGCAAAUCCUUUAUAUGUUGCAGAACUUCUCUUUUCCUAUGUCAUUAUGUUUUCGAGCUUUAUUUUGGGAUAACUGAUUAUAUGCCAUCCUCAUCUAUGUCAAAAAAUGAAGCUUCCACUGAAAACUGAAAUCCUUGAGUCCUUGUGGGUGAUGUCUUGAGAUAUGCCCUUAAUUGGCUGACUGAUGAUCUGACACGAACAGUCUUGGGGCAUGAGAAUCACAUUCUUCUUUACCUUGAGUUCAUGCUGUGUACCCUAUCCGAUCUUUUAUUUAGCAACGUGAUCUCUCUUAAUCAAAUCAAAAUCAACCAUAAUAUUGCUGAUAUAUCUUAUUUAGCCCUUGUUUGAUCCCCAUUAUUUGGUAAAAAUACAUUUUUCAACAGUGUUUUGACAUCAUUUCCACCACACAUUUUCAAUAAAAUAAUAUUACAUACAAAUCUAAAACUUUUUUCUUAUUUUUUAACUACACAUUUCACAUCAAUUCACUAUUCAAAAAUUCAUUCUAUUCCCCAAAAUGGGGCUCAAACAAGGGCUUAGUAUAUUCACGGUGAAGUCUUCAACCAGAACUUGCUGUCUCAGUUUCUUCAUAACACAACUUCAAGUAAAUUAAGCACUCCCGAACAUGUAAUAAAGCUGUUUAUCGGUACUUGUAUAUAUUAUAUAACAUGGGUACAACUGACAGAAGCUAAGUUUUACCUAUACAAUUUAUUUGCAGGCAUCCAAAAACACCUUGUUUGUUGCUUUACUUGACAAACUAAUAUCCAGAAUUGGAUUUGCACGAGUUAUUGCUGCUGCUACCUCUCCAUCUUUAACUGGGGAGCCUAUUAGAGACCUACCAACAAAUAAUCUGUAUUCUUCUCGAGCCUGGCUUGCUGCUGAAAUUUUAUGUACAUGGAAAUGGCUUGGUGGUAGUGCUUUGCACUCUUUUCUGCCUUCUCUAAGUGAAUAUGUGAAGCAUUCUUGUGAAAACUGCCUUCUGGAUUCCAUCGUCAGCAUUCUGCUUGAUGGUGCUCUUGUCCAGGGAGCUGGUACUGGGUUAAGUCCCUUAUGGCCUGCUUCAUACGAUGAGGUACAGGGCAUUGAGGAACCCUUUUUGAGAGCUCUUGUAUCAUUAUUGUUGACUUUUUUUCAAGAUGAUAUAUGGGGGAAGGGCAAAGCUGUAUCGCUCUUUAAUGCACUUCUAGAUAAGCUCUACAUUGGUGAUACAACGAACUUGAAUUGCUUGAGGAUUCUUUCUUCUGUUAUGAGCAUACUUAUAAGACCCUUAAGCAUCAGAUUGGUAGACUCCAGUGUGAGUGACGAGUGUGAUUAUUACAGCCAAAGCAAAUUUCACGAAUCAGUAGUAGACUGGCUUGAGAGAACUGUAUCUUUCCCUCCAUUGAAUACAUGGCAAACUGGAGAAGGUAAAUGCAAGCUACAAUUAGUUUUCAUUCAUGUACUGGGCACUUAUAAUUAAAUUAUCCUCAUAAAUAUAUGAUUAUAUAGUAGUAGUCAUAAAGGGAAAUGAAUUGUAGUUUUCCACGGCUUUAUAUCUCGAAGCUAAGGCAUAUAUCUAUUUUUUGGGUAUCUAAUGGCAAAAAUCUCAUAAUGUGCCACCAUGGUGUUGAUGCAGUUCAUUCUUGUUAUCCGACAUUCUGGCUUUGCUAUAUUAACAAUUUGACUUUUUCUACCAGAUAUGGAGGAUUUCUUUCAGUUGGUUAUAUCUUGCUUCCCAAUUAAAGCAACAGAACAAUUGCAGGGGUUAAAACAAGAGAGAUAUAUCAGUCCUGUGGAGAAAGAACUUCUUUACAAGUUAUUUGAGAAGCAGAGACAGCAUGCUGGUGCAUCAGCUGUAGUAAACAAGCUGCCAUUGGUUCAGAGGUUGUUGUCACAGUUAGUGGUUGUUUCAGUUGCUUAUUGCUGGGAGGAAUUCAAUGAAGAUGAUUGGAAUUUUGUUCUAACUCGGUCAAGAUUUUGGAUUGAGUCAACUGUUGUUAUGAUCGAGGAAGUUGCUGAAAAUGUGAAUGAUGCUGUGUCAAACUGUUCUAGUUCCAAUGAUAUGACAGAUACUCUAAAGAAGCUCAAGAUUGCUGUUUCAACCAUAGACCCUUUUCCCAUAAAACUCGCAACAAAUGCACUUCUUGCCUUCUCUCUGUUUUGUGGCCUCAUGGGACUCCAAAAGAAAGAGUAUCCUGAAAAUUCAAACCCUUUGAGGAUUGAGAGGUGGGAGGUCAUCAAGGAUCGAAUUCUAGAAGGUAUUCUUCGUUUAUUUUUCAGUACUGGCGUUGCUGAGGCCAUUGCAAAUUCGUAUUGCCAAGAGGCUUCGUCUGUUGUUGCGUCAUCUCGCCUGGAUCAUCCUCACUUUUGGGAGUUAGUAGCUUCAAGAGCCAUCGAGUCUAGUUCACAUGCAAGAGACAAAGCUUUGAAAUCGAUAGAGAUUUGGGGUCUAAGUAAAGGGCCAAUAAGCUCUUUGUAUGCUUUACUCUUUUCUUGCAAACCACUUCCUCCUGUGCAGUUUGCGGCGUUUGUUAUUAUUUCAACCGAACCUGUGAUGCACUCAGCUUUUAAAUGUGAUGCUGCUAGUUUGGUGAAGGGUGAUACGUCUAACAACGAGGGUCCUCACAAUCCUGAUAUUUCUUCUGAAGGAAAUGUUCGUUUGAGGGAAGAAAUUUCUCACAUGCUUGAAAAGUUUCCAGAGGAGGUCUUUGAAAUGGAUUUAGUGGCAAAUGAGCGGGUAAGUAAUAUGUAACCGUGAGCAUUAACUUUCCGCCCUUUGCUCCUUUGUGAUGUCUUAAUGUUUUGGUUACUCUAGGAGUAGGUAACAUUGCAUAAGAGAGAUGUUGAUUGCUUAGUUAAAUUAUAUGUAACAUUACCUCAUAGGCUGUGUUGCCUCUGUUAAACUUACAGGUGAACAUAUUUCUUGCUUGGUCUUUGUUUCUGUCACAUCUAGGAUCCUUGCCAUCAACUUCGUCUGAAAGAGAAAGAAUGGUUCAAUAUGUGCAAGACUCUAUCAAUUCAGUAAUACUGGAUUGUCUUCUCCAACACAUUCAAUUGGAAUUGUACGUGGUGCCAGGCUCAAGAAGGAAAGAUGUAGAACUUCCAGCAACAGUAUCCGAAGCAGCCACAGCUGCAACACGUGCCAUCAGGGACAGAUCAGUAUUGUUUUGCAUAGAGUCACUUUGGCCUGUUGGAAUAGAGAAAAUGGCCUCACUUGCUGGUGGAAUAUUUGGUUUGAUGCUUCAUAUUCUUCCUGCCUAUGUUCGUGGAUGGUUUAGUGACAUACGAAAUCGUUCUACUUCAUCUUCUGUUGAAUCUUUCACGAAAGCAUGGUGUAGCCCAACACUUGUUACAAAUGAAUUAUCUCAGGUGUGUGUGACAUGAUUCCUGUUUGCUGUUGAUUACAGUUUAAUUCCAGUUGACUUGUUUUUUGACUCCGUAAAAAAAUCUGUAUGUCAUGGAAACAGCCUCUCUGCUUGCAAGGGUAAGCUUCAUGAAUAUAAUCCCCAUCAUCUCAUAGUGUCUUGAGCAUUCUGCAUUGGGUAUCCUCUCUCUAGAAAUAGCUAGAUUCCAAGCCUUCUAGAGAUAUUGUGAACCUUAAAUAUCAUGUAAGAUACGAGAUGUUUGUUUCAAUGCUUCAAUGUCCGUUAAGUUUAUAUUGCAAUAAGGAUACCUGAUGUGAUCACAGCAUAAAACUGAAGCUUAUUUUUCUCUAUGCAGAUCAAGAAAGCCAGUUUUGCUGAUGAAAAUUUUUCAAUUAGUGUGAGAAAAUCAGCUAAUGAGGUUGUGGCCACCUAUUCGAAGGAUGAAACGGGAAUAGAUCUAGUAAUUCGUCUUCCUCCAUCUUACCCUCUGAGACCUGUAGAUGUAGAUUGUACCAGGAGCCUUGGAAUUAGCGAGUUGAAGCAGAGAAAGUGGUUGAUGUCAAUGAAGUCGUUUGUUUGUAAUCAGGUAUAACCGACAAACUCUUGCUGCUCGGGUGCUACUUUAUGCACAGUGUUUGCCCACUGUAAGACUAAUGCAAUUCAAGAAUUUAUGAUCAAUUGGUUAUGUUUUACUCUUGUUGUAUGUGGGCAUCACAGAUCAACUUUGAUAUUUGUUGAUUUAUCUGGUUCUUGUCCUCCAUCCCUGAUUGAUCAUCUGAGAUUCCCAUUCCCCCACCCACCAUACGGUCUAUAUCAAAUUUUCUAUUGUACCCCUCAUUAAAUUAAAGUGAAUUGAGGUUUUACGACAUAGAUGUGAAGUCCAUAGACCCCCAUUAAGUGGGUUUGUUCUUGAAAAAUGAUAUAAAAUCUUUUUGAAGUAAACGAUGGUGUUGUAUUGUCGAACCACCAUAUAAUAGGGGGUUAAAAAGCCAAAAUAAGUGAUUUUCAGCCCUUAAAAAGAAAUAGAUUCUUGAUCUAAAGCUUAAGCUAUUAGAGAAGGCUAUUGUAUAUCAUUUAAAGUCUUUAACAUGUACCCUCAUGUAUGGUGGGCUCAUUUUUUCCGUCAAAGCUUGAAACAUGCACAAUUUCAAUAAAUGGGUGGUAGUCAGAAUUAAUUCAGGACCUUUGCAUGCCAUAGUAACGUAUAUGACUUCAAUUUUCAUCUUAAAAGGUCGACUUGGUUACGAGUAGUUUAAUCUCUUAUAUGUUUGGGUAGUGUUUCAUAUCUAAUCAAUGUGGGAUUUACACCUGACAUGCCAGCUCAAGAUAGUUGCUCAUUGGAUAACACCAAUCCUGGAAUCUGAUUGCUUGUUUGAGCUUUAAAGGGAUUGAAUUAUUUCUUUGAACUUUUUUUUUUUUUUUUUGUUCUAAUACCAUUUUGAACAACUUUAUCUAAAUGCUUAAUCUUUUUAGAGUGGACCACUUGUAUAUCAUUUAAAAAUAGUAUUCAAUUUGUAUUAAUCUGCGGGAAAAUUGCAAGUGCAAGAUCUUUUUGGUGGUGGAGUAUGUGUUGAACAUGUCUGAUUUCGUUUUUUUUAUUCACACCCAUGAAAAUUUUGAACUGACUGCAAACAUUGAUUAGUAAUGAACUUCAUGGUCCUCCAAUAUGCCAAGAAAUAUUCAGCAUUGUUUCCAUGUUUUUUACUUUGAACAUUUCUGUUUUGAAAUCUGGAGGUUGAUGAUGUGUGUGAAUGGUACAGAAUGGAGCCUUAGCUGAAGCAAUACGGAUAUGGAAGAGCAAUUUUGACAAGGAAUUUGAAGGUGUUGAAGAGUGCCCUAUCUGUUAUAGUGUCAUCCACACUGCCAACCAUAGCUUGCCUCGCCUUGCUUGCAAGACCUGCAAGCAUAAAUUCCAUUCUGCCUGCCUCUACAAGUGGUUUUCAACUUCUCACAAAUCAACCUGUCCCCUGUGCCAAUCUCCCUUUUGAUCCCAGAAAAUGAAGUCAUCACAUUUAUUCACUGCGCUGCAGUUUUUAAGUGUAAUCUCAGGUGCUUUAUAUUUAUUGACUGCGGACUCAAUUUGAAGAAUGCAAAGGGCACUAAUUUCAAGCAUCCAAACUUUAAAGUGCUUAAAACCGCAGCCCCNNNNNNNNNNNNNNNNCCCCCCCCCCCCAUCUCUCUCCCCAUCUCUGUGACCACGAGUUGCAUCAUACCAUCUGGGAUGACGUUCUUGAUUAAAAUUGCCUGAGCUUGCUUUGAGGAGACUUGUUGAGCUCUAGGAACUCCUGGAGUCCGUUUUGUGUGACAUGUUGAUAUGGUGAGUCUGCUCUUUUCAUUAUAUUGUGCUUGAGUUGUCCAAUUUAGACAUGUUUAGUUAGAAAAAAACAUCAAAUCCAAGAAAGACACAUUAAAAAUUUUCCUGUGAGAAUUUAUGCAUAUUUUGAUCUUAUUUUAUUGCUGUAUUUUUUUAAAAAGAAAUCACAUUAUUUUUUUCCUGUUUCUGUAUUCUUUCCCCAUUUGUAACUGUCAUUAUGGUGGUCAAUGUGUGUGGUGGACUCAAAAUGCACACAAAUUGGCAUCAACUCUGUUUUCACGAGAGACCACGUGCCAUUGUUCUAUUGAACUGGGGGUUUGGGAGUUGGGUGGCAUAGUUUGAUUGGGGAACAAGAUUCUUUCAAUCCUAUAUUCAAAGAUGAUUGCUUGCUUUGCAACCAGAGCUGGGAACAUUCAUUUGAGUGUAACUUCUGCUUGUGGAAUCUAUUGUUAAACAAGGGCAUUUUGUGAUUUGGCACUUGUGCUUGGGUCUUUAAAAUUGAGGGAGGACAUCUUCCACCAGUGCAUUCUCCUAAAUUCUGUGAAGCACUGCUAGGUCUUAGUAUUCACUCUUACAUCACUGAUCCAACAGCUGGACUUGGAUGUCAGAAGUGCAUGGGAACUGGGCCUUAGAAUACCCUAUAGGCUAAUGCCUCUUAUCCCCGGGGCCACAUAGGCGGAUGGACACGUCCCCCCCUGGAAAUCCCGGGCUAGCAAAACUCUACCCUAUAUAACAUGGGUCCAAUAGCUGCUAAAAUUGAUUUCGACAUUUGAUUAAAUGAAAAGAUAAAAGAGGAUUGACUAACUGUUGUUCUAUUGGAUGACGGUGGGAACUUGGAAAGUUAUUCCCCUGUUUUUUUCCCAUACCGUCUUUAUCCAUCCUCGUAUUUUUUUGUGUCGAAUUUUGUUUCUGGAACCCGGGCCACCGUGGGAGGAGUUUGGUUCUGCUGGUUUUGCAUUUGUAGUGGUAAUUCAAUGACUUGCGUACGAAUCAACCAAGUUUCUUGAUUAGGCAUGUGUACCACCACGGUUGGCAGUUUCUAGCUGUCCUUUUAUGUAACAUCCAAAUAACCAUAUAAAGUGAAAAUAAAUUGAUGAUGCCAUUUUAUGCAAUAGAAAUUCACCUUUUUGCAUGUUGUACAUAUUUUUUCUAUUAAUAAUAAAUUUGAUUUUCUUGUUCAUUGCAGACGUAGAUGUUAAGACUUGGGGAUUGCAUCUUAAAAUAUCAACUUUUUUAACAGUAGUCCAAGAUCUUAUAAGUUGAUCUAUAUUUUUAUCUUUAAUCGAUGUGAGAUUUUAUUCCUUAACAUAACCCCUCAAAAUGGUGACCAAUCUUGAAAUUCGUAUGCUCAUUUAUUGAGUUUUAAUCGGAUUGAAUCGUUUGUUGGAGUUUAAUGAGUUUUAAUACCAUAUAAAGAUCUGGGGUUCCAUCUUAAAAUGUCAACAUUGUUAAAGUAAUUGCCUAAGACCUUAUAACUUCAUCUAUGUUUCAUCUUUAAUCGAUGUGGGAGUUUAUCCCUUAACAAGAGAGAUUUUAAAUCCUUAUGAUUGUGGUGUUGAAAUGUAGGUCUUGUUCUUGGAAUUCAGGCCAGAGAUUUAUGCAUUGAUGGAUGUGGUGACAAGGAUACUUGUAUUCAUAGGUAACAAUUUCUCCCAUACGAAUAUCGCUUGCAUUUGGGAUCCUCCACUUAAGUCCCAGGAGUACAUGUGGGAACCAGAAGACAAUCAGAAGAUUCGACGAAGAUAUUAAGGAUGCUCCUCUCUGCCAAUAGUUUUAAAAUAUCUAACGUGAGAACACAAGAAUGCGUGUAUAAAUACAUCCAAUAUGCAUUCAGAAUUUUUAAGUGUAGGGGUAUUCUUUUUUUGUUUUUUUAUUGUUUUUGCAUGCAUGUAUUACAGGGAAAUUAGCCAGGUGAAUGUUAAUGAGUUUUGACAAGAUUUUGAUGAUUAUGUUGCUGCUCCCGAGGUUUCUUGUCACUGUUUUCUGGUUUUUCUUUAUGGGUAGUACUGUAGUAGCUUACAGUCAAAGGCACGUGAAAGAGGAGAAAAAGUUUUCUGCUUGUUUUGAAUUUCUUCUUAGAAUUGUUUUCUGCAUUUUAAGAUGAUGAAUGUCAAAAUUAGAGGUUCAAAAGUAGGUUAAAUCGUUGAUCAAAUUGCUUUUUGAAAUUUGGAAGAACCCAGAAUGGCCGAAUUUUUACAUCAUGCUAUUCACAUGGUAUGCAACAUUGUGAUCC